RNAcentral lists this ribosomal RNA (469 nucleotides) under uncultured bacterium. Its description in RNAcentral is "partial 16S ribosomal RNA". It matches the Rfam family "Bacterial small subunit ribosomal RNA", at positions 28 to 507 of the family's 1533-position model. The record is from RNAcentral.
GACGAACGCUGGCGGCGUGCUUAACACAUGCAAGUCGAACGGAAAGGCCCUGCUUGCAGGGUGCUCGAGUGGCGAACGGGUGAGUAACACGUGGGUGAUCUGCCCCUUACUUUGGGAUAAGCCUGGGAAACUGGGUCUAAUACUGGAUAGGACCAUGCUGUAGGUGGUGUGGUGGAAAGAUUAGUUUCGGUAAGGGAUGAGCUCGCGGCCUAUCAGCUUGUUGGUGGGGUAAUGGCCUACCAAGGCGUCGACGGGUAGCCGGCCUGAGAGGGUGGAAGGCCACAUUAGGACGGCGAUACGGCCCAGACUCCUACGGGAGGCAGCAGUGGGGAAUAUUGCACAAUGGGCGCAAGCCUGAUGCAGCGACGCCGCGUGGGGGAUGACGGCCUUCGGGUUGUAAACUCCUUUCAGCCAUGACGAAGCCCUUGUGGUGACGGUAGUGGUAGAAGAAGCACCGGCUAACUACGUG